CUGCAUGGAGCAUAGAGAACAGGAGAACGAUCGCUACGUACUAAAGCAUAGCCCGCCUGUCCCAAAAACUUGUAUCAGCCACCAGUCUGCGCUGCCGACGGUAAGUUGCCUCUGUGAAGUUAGCUGUUUAUGACAUGUGCUUAUGAGUACAAGUAAAUGAAGUUAGUUGAAUAAUGUAUUUUGUAAACAAUGUUUACAAAUUUUCUUCGCGGCAUUGGUGAGAAAAUAAUCGUGCUCCGUAAUUUUUUAAUUUUUGACCAAAGAAACAUUAAAAAAUGGUGAAAUAUUGUAUUGUGCGUGGAUGUAAAAGAGGUUUAGCAUCUGAUCGCUAAAAUAGAAUGAAUUACUGAAAAACAAUUUGCGUCAAUCAUCUUUAUUCAAAGUACCAAACUACCAAAGAAUAACGUAUUGAGGGAUAAUGGGUAAAAGCUUUAUCACAACAAUUGACUCCAAAUCAGUUUAUCUGUGAGAAGCACUUUCCGAAGAAGAUAUUAAGAAAGGUGAUCGAUUGAUUAUUAAUCGAGCUGAAAUUAUCAUCCCUCGCGAAAGCAAGUUCCAAUAGUGCAAAAUGACAUUAAUAACUGACCAAUCGAAAACCUGGAUUAUACACAACCUUCGUUAAAAAUCAUUCAAGGUAACAAUUUAAAAGAAGAUUCUCAACCAGCAAGACCCCGUCAUAUGGAAUCACCAGAGAUUGUAACAGCUAAUAAUGUAAAAGAAUUAGAUAUUAUUAUGUUUAUCAUAUUGUUAUAGAUUUGCGAGAUUUUAAUAUAUUUUUUUUUGUACAUAAAUUUCAACAUUAGGUCAUUAUCUCGAACAUGUCUCCACCAUCAUGUGUUACACUAGAAGAGAUCCAUGCUCAUUUUCACUCAAUACUGAUCCAAGGAUGGUGUUAUUUUGCUUGUGAUGAAGAGUUGAUAUUUAGUCAUAUCAAUAUUCGCACCCGAAAAGAAGAUAUGAAUUUUACUAUUGCCAAUAAUCUUUCAGUGAAGGUAAAUAAUUUUCUCAUGCUUUUUUGAAUAAUUUUAUAUAUUCAUAAUGCAUAAAGAGCAUUUUAUUAUAAUUUAUUAAGUUUUGCUCACAUAAUCAUUUCUGAUACAACAGGUUUCUUUCUCUCAAUGACCAGAAAUUGUUAUUGAUGAUACUAUAUCAUCUAUAGAAGAUAUAAAAAUGUAUAUGGAAACUCUGCAAGCCACUAUCUUAUGUGAAGGAACUGACAUACACUAUAGGUACGAUAUAUUUUCUUUAAUUUCUUUUAAUAUAAAUAAAAAUCUCAUACUAUUACACAUUAGGUGAAAAUUGAAAAUAAACUUAAAGAUUCACCUAAAUCGAGGCUCCAUCUAGAACUGUGACACCUGAAGUAAAAACAAGCAUCAAGUACAUCUUUUAGUAGUAGUGUGAAAAGAAAGAGAGUAUCUACAUUACCUUUGAAAAAUUCCAAAUCACCUUGUAAGUCAAUAGAUAUGUUUUUUAGGUAGCAGAUUUUUUUUUUUAAUUAUCUAAGUGUAUGCAAAUGAACUUAUAAAUAAUGUAAAUACAUUUAUAAAGCAAUUUUAUGAAAUAAAAAAAUAUGAUAUUUUAAUUGUUUUUUAU
RNAcentral lists this unclassified non-coding RNA (1593 nucleotides) under Melitaea cinxia (Glanville fritillary). RNAcentral describes it as "misc RNA ENSMCXG00005015967.1". Lineage: Eukaryota; Metazoa; Arthropoda; Insecta; Lepidoptera; Nymphalidae. The record is from RNAcentral.